Grammomys surdaster is the source of this 104-nucleotide small nuclear RNA. The record is from RefSeq and is a predicted model, not a curated record. NCBI's taxonomy places the organism in Eukaryota, Metazoa, Chordata, Mammalia, Rodentia, Muridae.
GUCUGUCAUUGGCAGCACAUAAACUAAAAACUGGAGCGAUACAGAGAUUUUCGUAGUCCCUGCACAAAGAUGACAAAGACAUUUGUGAAACUUUCUUUCUUUCU